AGUCGAACGAUGAAGCCCUUCGGGGUGGAUUAGUGGCGAACGGGUGAGUAACACGUGGGCAAUCUGCCCUUCACUCUGGGACAAGCCCUGGAAACGGGGUCUAAUACCGGAUAAUACCGGCUUCCGCAUGGGGGCCGGUUGAAAGCUCCGGCGGUGAAGGAUGAGCCCGCGGCCUAUCAGCUUGUUGGUGGGGUAAUGGCCUACCAAGGCGACGACGGGUAGCCGGCCUGAGAGGGCGACCGGCCACACUGGGACUGAGACACGGCCCAGACUCCUACGGGAGGCAGCAGUGGGGAAUAUUGCACAAUGGGCGAAAGCCUGAUGCAGCGACGCCGCGUGAGGGAUGACGGCCUUCGGGUUGUAAACCUCUUUCAGCAGGGAAGAAGCGCAAGUGACGGUACCUGCAGAAGAAGCGCCGGCUAACUACGUGCCAGCAGCCGCGGUAAUACGUAGGGCGCAAGCGUUGUCCGGAAUUAUUGGGCGUAAAGAGCUCGUAGGCGGCUUGUCACGUCGGGUGUGAAAGCCCGGGGCUUAACCCCGGGUCUGCAUCCGAUACGGGCAGGCUAGAGUGUGGUAGGGGAGAUCGGAAUUCCUGGUGUAGCGGUGAAAUGCGCAGAUAUCAGGAG
RNAcentral lists this ribosomal RNA (626 nucleotides) under Streptomyces sp. YIM 100592. RNAcentral's name for it is "bacterial SSU rRNA". It matches the Rfam family "Bacterial small subunit ribosomal RNA", at positions 60 to 703 of the family's 1533-position model. The record is from RNAcentral. Lineage: Bacteria; Bacillati; Actinomycetota; Actinomycetes; Kitasatosporales; Streptomycetaceae.